CCUACGGGGGACAGCAGUGAGGAAUAUUGGUCAAUGGCCGGAAGGCUGAACCAGCCAAGCCGCGUGAAGGACGAAGGUGCCAAGCAUUGUAAACUUCUUUUGUCAAGGGACAAAAUCAGGCUCGUAAGCCUGACCGAGGCUACUUGAAGAAAAAGCAUCGGCUAACUCCGUUCCAGCAGCCGCGGUAAUAGGGAGGAUGCGAGCGUUAUCCGGUUUUAUUGGGUUUAACGGGUGCGUAGGGGGACUGUUAAGUCAGCGGUAAAAUCCCGGGGUUCAACGCCGGCGUGCCGUUGAAACUGGUUGUCUUGAGAGGUCGAGAGGAGUGCGGAACGCGAAGUGGAGCGGUGAAAUGCUUAGAUAUUGCGCAGAACUCCGAUUGCGAAGGCAGCAUACCGGCGGCGAUCUGACGCUGAGGUACGAAAGCGUGGGUAUCGAACAGGAUUAGAUACCCUGGUAGUC
This 459-nucleotide ribosomal RNA is filed under the name uncultured bacterium. Its description in RNAcentral is "partial 16S ribosomal RNA". It matches the Rfam family "Bacterial small subunit ribosomal RNA", at positions 338 to 795 of the family's 1533-position model. The record is from RNAcentral.